CGGCGGACGGGUGAGUAACGCGUGGGUAACCUGCCUCAUACAGGGGGAUAACAGUUAGAAAUGACUGCUAAUACCGCAUAAGACCACAGGAUCGCAUGAUCCGGUGGUAAAAACUCCGGUGGUAUGAGAUGGACCCGCGUCUGAUUAGCUAGUUGGUGGGGUAACGGCCUACCAAGCCGACGAUCAGUAGCCGACCUGAGAGGGUGACCGGCCACAUUGGGACUGAGGCACGGCCCAA
Molecule: ribosomal RNA, 238 nt
Filed under: uncultured bacterium
Lineage: Bacteria
Description: partial 16S ribosomal RNA
Rfam family: Bacterial small subunit ribosomal RNA
Source: RNAcentral